RNAcentral lists this long non-coding RNA (208 nucleotides) under Lathyrus oleraceus (garden pea). Its description in RNAcentral is "Pisum sativum (pea) long non-coding RNA (PSAT_LNC041930)". The record is from RNAcentral. Lineage: Eukaryota; Viridiplantae; Streptophyta; Magnoliopsida; Fabales; Fabaceae.
AAAAUUGUCACAAAAUACAAAUCCUAACAACCUAUAAAAGCAUAUUCUCCAAUCAUUGAUCAAAAUCCAAUCAUUACCUCAUAAUCUCUCCCCUAAUCAUUUCUCCCUCAAAAUCACUAAAUUAGAAUAUGAUAAUUUCCAACAAUCAUCUUCAACCUCUCAAACUCAACAACCAUCUACAAACCUCUAAACCUUCUCUAAAUCUUUA